RNAcentral lists this long non-coding RNA (2417 nucleotides) under Homo sapiens (human). Its description in RNAcentral is "PREDICTED lncRNA (TCONS_00191781)". Lineage: Eukaryota; Metazoa; Chordata; Mammalia; Primates; Hominidae. The record is from RNAcentral.
GAAGCCAGGCCAAGAAGAAUCCCAGGACUGGAAGGCCUUGUGGGACGUCCCAGGUUUGUCUUGUGUCAAUAGCACUGAUACUCAAUCUCCUACUCCCAUCUGUGAGCAUGCAGACCCUACUUGCCUUCCCACAGCCUCCCUUUUCAUAUUUUUCAUGUUUCUUUAGCUCUGUCUUCAAGCCUUGUUGCUCCCGCAAAAAAACCUGCCUCUUCCUCCAGUCCUCCCAAGCAGGGGGAACAGUCCUGACACCUUUCCAAGCCCUGGUCCAUGGACAUUGUGCCCCCUUCUCCCUGCCCAUGGUGACCUGCUCCAAAACCCUCAAGGAGAAGGGAGUGUAUGUCAUUUCCUCCCUGUAAAGUAAAGAUAAUUUUGCAGGGGACUGUGUGGAUGAAAUGACAUGAUGCAUGGAAAUCCCUUAGCGUGUGCCUGGCAUGUAAACUGCAGGUGUCAUCAUUAUUACUGAGGAAUACUGAGUCCCGAACAUGGCUGUCUCAUUGGUGGACUGGGGUCUCCCCCAGGGCAUUCAUCUACUAUGUGUUUAUUGCACCCUUUUUCCAUGUGAGGCACAUGCCAGGGACUGGGCACAUGGUAUGAACAAGACACAGGUCAUCGGUGUCCUCUUGAGCUCCCUGGCUUGGCAGCAGAUGCAUACCUGGGAAGGAUGCUAGGUCAUCCGGGAACUCUACCUCCUUCAAAUCCCUAAGGACUGUGCUCCCAAUCCGCUUACGCUCAAGGAAGAACUGGAAGGCCCAGAACCAGCCUGCUGUCAGGAUCAGAACAAAAGAGGAGGACUGCAUAUGUAUGGACCCACUCCAGAUGGCACGGGGACGGGGGGAGUAGGAAAAGUGGCAUGGUCCCUUCCCGUGGAUAUAAUUCUUCCCAGGCCUGUUGUGUGAGUUGGUGAUGCCAUCAUUCCUGCCUCACACUUGCAAACUUCCCUCUUUGGAAUUUCAGAGACCAGGCCCACAGAGUAUGGCUGUGCAAGUUGUUCACUCUACAAGGGCACCUGGCCGGGGUCUUACCUUGAAUGGAGGAGAAGAGCUUGAAGAUGAGGGGACAGGCCAAGACAACUACCUGGCCCCGAGGGGUGGCUGGCCAGCAGAUGAGGAAAUGGAGGCACAGACUGAUUAGAAAACCAGCUCAAGGUCAUGUUGCUGCUCUCUCAUUCCUGUUGAGGGCUCUCUGGUGGAGCCUCUGUCUCACAGGUCACCUGCAGGCCAACACUCCCAGAAGCAGCUAGCACCAUGGUUGACCUCGUCCAGGUCCAGGGAAGGCCUCCCUCUCCAGGACUCCUUUAGAUUUCCCCAGCAUCCAGACCUCACCUGCCUAAGUGCUGUUGCCCUGGAAGCCACAGUGAGCACGAGCUCCAUCUUGCACCUUUACCAGCCAAUGGGGGUAAAGACAUUAGCUGGGUUACUCAGGCUGAAAUGCUCAAGACACUCUGUCUCAAGGGAUUUGUGGCUGUUUCAUCCUCAAGUAUAGGGGGAAUAGUGGCCAGGAAGAUCUCAGAGGUGGCUUCUGGAAGAGGAAUCUGGGUACUGGCUACCCUGCCUUGUGUCCCAUCAUUGGUCUGUCUUGCCUGUCUUGGAGCACAUUUCUCACCAAGGUUCGUAGGCCAUGUUCAAUCCCCUCAAGGGAAGCCUGAGACCACAGCUACUGCCUCGAAUCAGAAGCCCCAGCCUCAUCAUCUGGGGCCAGAGAACUAGGGCAGGAGGAGCCAAGUAGCACAGCAGGAAGCAUGAGUCCCUCCGAGGAGAAGCUGGUCUCUGAGAGGAGCACAGAAUGCAGCAGGCUGGAUAAGCCCCCUGCUGAAAUCAUGGGGUAAAAAAGAGACACAGGGGGAAUGGAGGAGCCAGAGAGAAAGCAGUGUGAUCACAGGCACACAGGACAGCAGCUCACCUUCCCAUCCUUGCUGGCUUUUGCACCCAACAGCCCAAAGCCUCCCCGCUGCAAAUUCUUUUUUUUUUUUUUUUUUGCCAGCCUCACUUCCUCUUGGGGAAGGCUGAGCUCUGGUAGAAGAAGAGAAUGAGAACUGCUGUAAAUACUUCUAAGGGGCCAGGCGUGGUGACUCAUGCUUGUAAUUCCAAGCACUUUGGGAGGCUGAGGCAGGUGGAUCACCUGAAGCCAGGAGUUCAAGAGCAGCCUGGCCAACAUGGCGAAACCCUGUCUCUACUAAAAAUACAAAAUUUAGCCAGGCAUGGUGGCGGGAGCCUGUAAUCUCAGCUCCUAGGGAGGCUGAGCCAGAAGAAUCGCUUAAACCUGGAAGCUGGAGGUUGCAGUGAGCCAAGAUCACACCACCACACUCCAGCCUGGGUGACAGAGCAAGACUCCAUCUCAAAAAGAAAAAAAAGAAAAAAAGGAAAUACUUCUAAGUUAUGUGAGAGAGUACAUACUGACAUUUUCAAUGGGUACAAUAA